CAAUACAUGCGUCAAGCGUUUGCCUUCGGGUUAAACGUGCUGUUAUUGGAGCAAAACCAGUCUCGUACUGUUUGCUAACCCAGAAUAAUUCUGCAUAUCGCAUGGUCUUGUACCGGCGAAGUUUCUUUCAAGUAUCUGCUUUAUCAACUAUCGUUGGUAGUUUAUUGGUCUACCAUGGUGUUGACGGGUAACGGAGAAUCAGGGUUUGACUCCGGAGAGGGAGCCUUAGAAACGGCUACCAUGUCUAAGGAUAGCAGCAGGCACGAAAAUUACCCAAUAUCAAAACGAUGAGGUAGUGACGAGAAAUAACGAGAUCGUUCUCUAUGAGAUCGAUUAUUGGAAUGAGUACAAUCCAGAAAUUUUAACGAGUAUCUACGAGAGGGCAAGUCUGGUGCCAGCAGCCGCGGUAAUUCCAGCUCUCGUAAUGUAUAGAAUUAUUGUUGCGAUUAAAAAGUUCGUAGUUGGAUUGCAACGUAGGCAUGGGUCCACCUUCGUGGUGCGUACUCAAUGCUUACAUUUUGCUGGUUUUUGCGGCGUUGUUUUCGGACGACGUUCGUGAUGCCAGCAGGAUUACUUUGAACGGCUCAAGUGCUUAAAGCAAGUCUUAUGACUGAAUACCGGUGCAUGGAAUAUUGGAACAAGGUUGUGGCUGAGUUUUAUUGGUUUUGUCGGCUAAAACAAUGGUUAACAGGAACAGCCGGGGGCAUUCGUAUCGCUGCGCGAGAGGUGAAAUUC
This is a ribosomal RNA of 735 nucleotides. It matches the Rfam family "Eukaryotic small subunit ribosomal RNA", at positions 165 to 919 of the family's 1831-position model.